RNAcentral lists this small nucleolar RNA (81 nucleotides) under Aspergillus carbonarius ITEM 5010. RNAcentral describes it as "A. fimigatus snoRNA Afu_298". It matches the Rfam family "A. fimigatus snoRNA Afu_298". Lineage: Eukaryota; Fungi; Ascomycota; Eurotiomycetes; Eurotiales; Aspergillaceae. The record is from Rfam by way of RNAcentral.
GAUGAUGAUCAAAUUUUUAACUCGUAGCCACUGGCUGUGAAGAUGAAAACGCAACAACAACACUCUAAUUUUUUGCUGACA